UAGGCGGCGAUAAUUCAAAUCUUAUCUUCACUCACUUUUUCCACAACCGCGAACCAGAGUGCAAGGAAUCUUCAAUCAACUCGAACAGCUAUCAUCAGAGACAUUUGGCCCAGGAAAGUUGCCACAGAAAGCCAUUAAAAGCUCACCAUUUGAGAGUGAAAUGGGAAACCGAUAAUUACGAAUAUGAUGAUUAUUUUGUGGGAGAGCUCCAUUCCGGCCGCCGUGAGCAAGUCGGCAACAGCUGCGACGUGGGAAAUUGAUUGUGACCAAAGUUAAAAAGAUUGGAAGAUACACCAAGAUAUGAUUCAAAUACAAAGAAAUACAUGCGCUACAAAAAUCCAA
Long non-coding RNA from Aedes aegypti (yellow fever mosquito), 342 nucleotides. RefSeq lists it as uncharacterized. The transcript has 2 exons. The record is from RefSeq and is a predicted model, not a curated record. Lineage: Eukaryota; Metazoa; Arthropoda; Insecta; Diptera; Culicidae.